This 468-nucleotide ribosomal RNA is filed under the name uncultured bacterium. RNAcentral describes it as "partial 16S ribosomal RNA". It matches the Rfam family "Bacterial small subunit ribosomal RNA", at positions 28 to 507 of the family's 1533-position model. The record is from RNAcentral.
GACGAACGCUGGCGGCGUGCUUAACACAUGCAAGUCGAACGGAAAGGCCCUGCUUUUGUGGGGUGCUCGAGUGGCGAACGGGUGAGUAACACGUGAGUAACCUGCCCUUGACUUUGGGAUAACUUCAGGAAACUGGGGCUAAUACCGGAUAGGAGCUCCUGCUGCAUGGUGGGGGUUGGAAAGUUUCGGCGGUUGGGGAUGGACUCGCGGCUUAUCAGCUUGUUGGUGGGGUAGUGGCUUACCAAGGCUUUGACGGGUAGCCGGCCUGAGAGGGUGACCGGCCACAUUGGGACUGAGAUACGGCGCAGACUCCUACGGGAGGCAGCAGUGGGGAAUAUUGCACAAUGGGCGGAAGCCUGAUGCAGCAACGCCGCGUGCGGGAUGACGGCCUUCGGGAUGUAAACCGCUUUCGCCUGUGACGAAGCGUGAGUGACGGUAAUGGGUAAAGAAGCACCGGCUAACUACGUG